RNAcentral lists this ribosomal RNA (459 nucleotides) under uncultured bacterium. RNAcentral's name for it is "partial 16S ribosomal RNA". It matches the Rfam family "Bacterial small subunit ribosomal RNA", at positions 338 to 795 of the family's 1533-position model. The record is from RNAcentral.
CCUACGGGUGGCAGCAGUGAGGAAUAUUGGUCAAUGGCCGGAAGGCUGAACCAGCCAAGCCGCGUGAAGGACGAAGGUGCCAAGCAUUGUAAACUUCUUUUGUCAAGGGACAAAAUCAGGCUCGAGAGCCUGACCGAGGGUACUUGAAGAAAAAGCAUCGGCUAACUCCGUGCCAGCAGCCGCGGUAAUACGGAGGAUGCGAGCGUUAUCCGGAUUUAUUGGGUUUAAAGGGUGCGUAGGCGGACUGUUAAGUCAGCAGUAAAAGCCCGGGGCUCAACCCCGGCGAGCCGUUGAUACUAGCUGUCUAGAGUUGUCGAGAGGUAUGCGGAAUGCGAAGUGUAGCGGUGAAAUGCGUAGAUAUUGGGAAGAACACCGAAUGCGAAGGCAGCAUACCGGCGGCGAUCUGACGCUGAGGGACGAAAGCGUGGGUAUCGAACAGGAUUAGAUACCCGUGUAGUC